UACGGAGGGAGCUAGCGUUGUUCGGAAUUACUGGGCGUAAAGCGCACGUAGGCGGCUAUUCAAGUCGGGGGUGAAAGCCCGGGGCUCAACCCCGGAAUUGCCCUCGAAACUAGAUAGCUAGAAUCUUGGAGAGGCGAGUGGAAUUCCGAGUGUAGAGGAGAAACUCGUAGAUAUUCGGAAGAACACCAGUGGCGAAGGCGACUCGCUGGACAAGUAUUGACGCUGAGGUGCGAAAGCGUGGGGAGCAAGCAGG
RNAcentral lists this unclassified non-coding RNA (253 nucleotides) under uncultured Sphingomonadaceae bacterium. RNAcentral's name for it is "contains 16S-23S intergenic spacer region". It matches the Rfam family "Bacterial small subunit ribosomal RNA", at positions 524 to 776 of the family's 1533-position model. Lineage: Bacteria; Pseudomonadati; Pseudomonadota; Alphaproteobacteria; Sphingomonadales; Sphingomonadaceae. The record is from RNAcentral.